This 424-nucleotide ribosomal RNA is filed under the name uncultured bacterium. Its description in RNAcentral is "partial 16S ribosomal RNA". It matches the Rfam family "Bacterial small subunit ribosomal RNA", at positions 354 to 796 of the family's 1533-position model. The record is from RNAcentral.
GUGGGGAAUAUUGGACAAUGGGCGAAAGCCUGAUCCAGCCAUGCCGCGUGAGUGAUGAAGGCCCUAGGGUUGUAAAGCUCUUUCACCGGGGAAGAUAAUGACGGUACCCGGAGAAGAAGCCCCGGCUAACUUCGUGCCAGCAGCCGCGGUAAUACGAAGGGGGCUAGCGUUGUUCGGAAUUACUGGGCGUAAAGCGCACGUAGGCGGAUCAGUCAGUUAGGGGUGAAAUCCCAGGGCUCAACCCUGGAACUGCCUUUAAUACUGCUGAUCUAGAGUUCGAGAGAGGUGAGUGGAAUUCCGAGUGUAGAGGUGAAAUUCGUAGAUAUUCGGAGGAACACCAGUGGCGAAGGCGGCUCACUGGCUCGAUACUGACGCUGAGGUGCGAAAGCGUGGGGAGCAAACAGGAUUAGAUACCGAGUAGUCC